Molecule: long non-coding RNA, 1095 nt
Filed under: Felis catus (domestic cat)
Lineage: Eukaryota; Metazoa; Chordata; Mammalia; Carnivora; Felidae
Description: lncRNA (ENSFCAG00000047351.1)
Source: RNAcentral
CGAGCACACAGCUGGACUCUGAGCCGCAUGGGGGGGCCUCAGGCAGCACCCCCCCAAGCCCCAGUGUGCCAUUGGGCAGGUAAAACAUGGGUCCCUCCCUGCCUGCAGGAUGUGGGGCCAGAGCACAAGUACUGGGGAGUCUGCAGUCCUGGGGCCACGGUCAGAAAGGGUCCCUGCCCAGGCACCCCCUCCAGCUUGACCACCAGGUCCCGGUCCAGAAUGGCUCAGGCCUAGGGACACAGGCCCUGCAGGGUUCUCUGCCCAUCUCUGCAGCCAUGGGCUGGGGCCCUGGACACAGGACCAGGUCUCUCUGUCUCCACCUGCUGGGCUGAUACUGCCUCCGCCUUGCCUCCCCGUCAGCCUGGAGAUCUUGGGGCAAGUCUCCUGGGAGCCAGCUCUUUGUCCCCAGGCACCACCCUCAGCAGCCCCACUCGGCCCAGCAUCCGUCCCAGGAACCCAGCCCCUGACACACCCCCUGGGGCCCUGGCCCCAGCCUCCCACAGGCCUGGGAGGGGCCCACUCCGUGGUCUCCAGGCCCUUGGCUCCUCGGUCUCCCAGACUCGGUUCAAGUGUCCCUUCCUCAUGGAAGCCUCUACCCUCCCCUGCGCCUGAGCCCCUCCCCACGGCUGCUCACAGGGAAGUCAGAAACCAGCUCAAGCCCAGCGAAAAGGACAACGCAGCAGAGUGGGGUGUGAGGGGUGCGGGGAAAGCAGGGCCGAGGGGGUGCUGUGCGGUGAGGGCCGCGUGAAAACCCGGGAGCCAGGCCGCCAGCGGACCUGACUUCAGGAGUGAGAAGUACAGCCCAGGUUCAGGGUCAGGAGAAGGGAGGAGGUACACACGGAGGAUGGAAAAAUAGGGGAAAACCGGGACGUGGAACCUACAGUUGGCUCCUUCGAAGAGCAGCACACUUGACAGACGCUUGACUAGAUGCGCUCAGAAAAACGGACUCAAAUUAGAAAAGGAGGCAUGAGAGUGGGGGCAUCGGCACCGACCCCACAGAAACAAGGGGCCGUGGGAGGUCUGGGAGGAGCACGCGUAGGCCAACGAGGACGACCCUCGCGGGAAGGACAGAAGGCGCAGCCGGUGCAGGAAGCC